AAUCACUACCUGGGGUACAGUUUUCUUGAAAAUAACUUUAGAGUGUUCAAUUCACUUAGUGAUUU
This 65-nucleotide transfer RNA is filed under the name Cyclophorus martensianus. RNAcentral describes it as "tRNA-Ser". The record is from RNAcentral. Lineage: Eukaryota; Metazoa; Mollusca; Gastropoda; Architaenioglossa; Cyclophoridae.